Molecule: long non-coding RNA, 658 nt
Filed under: Phoenix dactylifera (date palm)
Lineage: Eukaryota; Viridiplantae; Streptophyta; Magnoliopsida; Arecales; Arecaceae
Description: long non-coding RNA (PDAC_LNC019304)
Source: RNAcentral
UCGAAACUUAUUAUUUGAUCAAUCUCUAAAACACCAUGGUUUGAAAGUAGUGUAAACAAAUGUGGGGGCAGGAGAGAGAGUAGGGAAGAGUCGCGCUGGGGAAGGGGAUGAGGACGUCCAGCCCUGAGACCAUGCUCUCGACGUGCUCUAUUUGGGAGGAGGCGGUGGAUCGGGUGGUAGUCAUAUCAAAUGAGGUUAUUUUUGCCUUUUCAAAAAAAAAAAAUCAUUGUAAUCAUGAGAUGGGGAUAAAAUGAUUAAUGGAAAAAGAAAAAAAGCUCCUUGUACGACGACGUAAUCGUAAAACAGGGAUAAAAUGGUUAACAACAAAAACAAUUUAUGACAUAUUACCUUGAAAUUAAAUAUACUUAUUGAGGACAAUAAUUUUUCUCUAAAUGUCCUAUCACAUUUGCAAAUUGGACCUAGCAUCGGCUUGGUUUAGGAGUGCUUGAGGAAAGUCAUCCAAUCAACCCAAAUACAAUACUUCCUAACCUAUAUAUAGGAGUUGUUUGGAGCCAUAUAGUUGAACCUGCACUGCAACUCAAAUCUCAUUGCAUCUUAUAUUGUAGUAAUUGACUUAGAAGGAUGCCCGCUUCUUUUAUUUGGAAAAGAGUUCAAAAAAAUAAAGAUCUCUGACAGAAAUUCCAUUGAAUAUCUUAAG